GUUGUAGUAGUAUAGUGGUGAGUAUACCUGUCUGUCACAUGAGUGACCCGGGUUCGAUCCCCGGCAACAGCG
Molecule: transfer RNA, 72 nt
Filed under: Vitis vinifera (wine grape)
Lineage: Eukaryota; Viridiplantae; Streptophyta; Magnoliopsida; Vitales; Vitaceae
Rfam family: tRNA
About the family: Transfer RNA (tRNA) molecules are approximately 80 nucleotides in length. Their secondary structure includes four short double-helical elements and three loops (D, anti-codon, and T loops).
Source: Rfam by way of RNAcentral